UAUCUCUGUAGAGUCUGCAUAUCAAUAAGCGGAGGAAAAGAAACUAACUAGGAUUCCCUCAGUAACGGCGAGUGAAGCGGGAAGAGCUCAAAUUUGAAAUCUUCAAGGUUUACCUUGACGAAUUGUAGUUUAAAGAAGUGUUUUCUGUUGGAGUUUUGGUAAAAGUUCUUUGGAAUAGGACAUCAUAGAGGGUGAGAAUCCCGUAUUUGACCAUUAUUUCCAACUUUGUGAUACACUUUCAAAGAGUCGGAUUGUUUGGGAAUGCAGUCCAAAAUGGGUGGUAAAUUUCAUCUAAAGCUAAAUACUGGCGAGAGACCGAUAGCGAACAAGUACCGUGAGGGAAAGAUGAAAAGAACUUUGAAAAGAGAGUUAAACAGUACGUGAAAUUGUCAAAAGGGAAGCGUUUGACACCAGUGUUGUUUUCUCGAAAAUCAAUUAAAAAAGAUUGGAUUUUGUGUUGUAUUGACUUUAUCAGCUUUCUGCACUCUUUUCUUGUCUUUUUUAAUGCACUUUUCGUUUAACAAGUCAACAUCAAUUUCUUUUGUUGUAAAAGGGUCAUUGGAAGGUGGCUUUCUUUUCGGAGAAAGUGUUUAUAGCCUUUGGCUUCUGCAAUCGGAGAGAUUGAGGUCUGCAGCGUAGAUCCUUCGGGGUUAGAUGCAUUUGUGCUAAGUUAUAGCCUUUCAUAGACAACUUGUUGACUAUGAUCAGUCAUGUAGCUUACUCGCUUAUGUCAUUUUACCUACGCUUAGGAUGUUGAUCUCUCACAGUCGAGC
This 773-nucleotide ribosomal RNA is filed under the name uncultured Neocallimastigales. RNAcentral describes it as "partial large subunit ribosomal RNA". It matches the Rfam family "Eukaryotic large subunit ribosomal RNA", at positions 24 to 645 of the family's 3401-position model. Lineage: Eukaryota; Fungi; Neocallimastigomycota; Neocallimastigomycetes; Neocallimastigales. The record is from RNAcentral.